UUUCAGCCCCGAUUGAAAUGAAAAUCCUUAUGGUCCGUCUCGUCCCAAAAGACGAGAGGGACAUAAGAUUGCAAUGGAAAGCGGGACGAUGA
This 92-nucleotide small RNA is filed under the name Flavobacterium sp. 1. RNAcentral describes it as "Flavo-1 RNA". It matches the Rfam family "Flavo-1 RNA". The record is from RNAcentral. Lineage: Bacteria; Pseudomonadati; Bacteroidota; Flavobacteriia; Flavobacteriales; Flavobacteriaceae.